This 1991-nucleotide long non-coding RNA is filed under the name Bos indicus x Bos taurus (hybrid cattle). RNAcentral describes it as "lncRNA (ENSBIXG00005004504.1)". The record is from RNAcentral. Lineage: Eukaryota; Metazoa; Chordata; Mammalia; Artiodactyla; Bovidae.
GUCGUUCAGUCGUGUCCACUCUUUGCGACCCCAUGGCCUGUAGCCCACCAGACUCUUCUGUCUGUGGGAUUUCCCAGCAAGAAUACUGGAGCAGGUUGUCAUUCCCUUCUUCCGGGGAUCUUCCCGACCCAGGGAUCAGACCUGGGUCUCCUGCACUGCAGGUGGAUUCUUUACCGUCUGACUACCAGGGAAGCCUGUUAGAUUUAAGAGUUCAGCGCUAACUAGUGCUGUCAUCAGAGCUGGUUGGAAGGAAGAGCUGGGGCUGGGAGCCAGCCUCUAUGAAGCUGGAAGGCAAGCACCCAAGACAGCAAGUGAAGCCACCUGUAGGGAAUUUGGGGAAGAGAGAUGGGGCGGAAGCUGGGGAGCACACGGUGUGGAGAGGGGGGCUCUGUUUGCCUGGUUCUGCUUGGAGUCUGGCGUGAGAUUCACUUCACUUUCAAGACAAGUGCUGUUGGGGGACAGCCCAGCCUGCCUGCCAUCGCCCUGUGGAUAUUUCCGUGCUCAUGAUGGAGACUGCUGGUGUGUCCUCUCAGAGUCAUCCUGUUGCUCCGAAGGUGUGUCUGCAGGAAGGUCACCGGGGCUGCGAGAAGGCCUGGGUGGUAACCGACCCAGGGAGCGUCCACUUUCCAAGUCCAGCCCCGCCGCACCCUGGCGAGCUGGCUCCUGUCCUGCGUGCACUUCUACGCCCUGUGGACUCACCUCUUCUCUUGGCCAGGGGGCCAGCUCCAGGUCCCCGUCCCGUUGGUGAAAGUGUUUUGUGUGAUUCCCCCUGUUGCCUGGAGAACACUUUUCUCUUUUAUUAUUGUUUUGGUUUUAACCGGAGAGAAUGUGGUGAGAGGGAAGACUGCGGAGCUAAGGGAGAGCUUUGCUGUAGCCAGAGAAGAGCCGGGGGCAGGGCUUCCAGAAGGAGCCCCGAGAACGUGGUCCUGUCGCACUGCCAGCUCUCAGGAAAGGGCCAUGCCUUGGAGUGCCAUCCCUACAAGCAGCAUGCAGAGCCCGGCAAGGCACCAAGCAGCCCAGGGCGGCGGCCCAUUGAGAUAACCAGGCGGACAGACAAUCAGCGGGGCCGCCUUGAGUGUUCUCUGCUUACGACUCUGGGGCCUUUACGUUUGGAACAACUGAAAGGAACUGGGGAGAGAAGUGAGAGUGGAAAAAAAAGGGCAUCUUUUUUUUUUUUUUUUGAAUUGCAUCUUUUUUUUGCUGUGUUUUUAAAAUUUUUAUUUGAAUUUAAAUUUUAACUUGAUUUAUAAUAUUGUGUUAGUCUUCCACUUACAGAAGAGGGAUUCAGUAUUCCUGCAGAUCCCAUCCCAUUAUAGAUUAUUACAAAAUAUGGGUUAUAAUUCCCUGUGGUCUGCAGCAGAUCACUGUUGUAUCUCUGUUUUCUGUACCGUCAUUUCUGUCUGCUAAUCCCACACUCAUAAUUUGUCCCUCCCUUUGGUAUCCACAAGUUUGUUGUAUAUGUCUGUGAGUCUGCUUCUGUUUUGUAUAUACGUUCAUUUGUAAUAUUGUUUAAGCUCCACAUAUAAGUGAUAUCAUAGUAUUUGUCUUUCUCUGUCUGACGUAUCAGUAAGCGUAAUAUUCCCUAGGUACAGCCACAUUGCUGUAAAUGGCCAUUGUCAGGGUUGAGAAAUAUUCCAUUGUAUACGUAUGUGUAUAUGCCAUAUCUUCUUAAUCUAAUCGUCUGUUGGCGGAGACUAGGGGUGUUUCCAUGUCUUAGCUAUUGUAAGUAGUGCUGCUCUGAACAUUCAGAUGCAUGUAUCUUUUUGAGUUAGUAUUUUUGUUUAUUUCCAGAUAUACGCCCAGAAGUGGAAUUGCUGGAUCAUAUGACAAUUCUAUUUUUUAGGUUUUUUUUUUUAAUUGGAGUAUAUUAACAGUUUCUUUAUAAUGUUGUGUUUGACUGCAUUACUUUGAUUUAGUAAAAAUGACCUGAGUUUCCAGAGCAAAAUUCCUAUGGGCCACAUAUAAAUAAAAUGGAGACAGCCUAGCGUCCA